UUGGUUAAGCUAUAAAGAGCGCAGGGUGGAUGCCUUGGCACUAAGAGCCGAUGAAAGACGUGAUAAGCUGCGNNNNNNNNNNUCAAGACAUCCGAGGUGUUACAUCGAAAGAUGUAACCAAACAAUAACUCGUUUUAAAUAACGAACCUAAGACCAGCGAUACAACGCUAUGUAUCGUAGAUGAGUAGCCAGCACCCGCAGGCGAAAAUCAAUUGGUUAAGCUAUAAAGAGCGCAGGGUGGAUGCCUUGGCACUAAGAGCCGAUGAAAGACGUGAUAAGCUGCGAAAAGCUUCGGGGAGGAGCAAAUAUCCAUUGAUCCGGAGAUAUCUGAAUGGGGAAACCUGGCUGAGAAGACCUCAGUCGUCGUAUGGUGAAUCCAUAGCCAUACGUCGGGAACCGCCUGAACUGAAACAUCUAAGUAGGGCGAGGAAAAGAAAGAAAACUCGAUUUCCAAAGUAGCGGCGAGCGAAAUGGAAAGAGCCUAAACCGGAGCGCGUGCGUUCCGGGGUUANNNNNNNNNNCGAGGAAAAGAAAGAAAACUCGAUUUCCAAAGUAGCGGCGAGCGAAAUGGAAAGAGCCUAAACCGGAGCGCGUGCGUUCCGGGGUUAUGGACCGCAACAAGUGAGUCGAUUUGUUAGUGGAACGGUCUGGGAAGUCCGGCCACAGAGGGUGAAAGCCCCGUACACGAAAACAAUAGACAGCGAGCGGGAUCCAAAGUACCACGAGACACGAGAAACCUUGUGGGAAGUCGGGGGGACCACCCCCCAAGGCUAAAUACUCCUUAGUGACCGAUAGCGCAUAGUACUGUGAAGGAAAGGUGAAAAGGACCCCGGGAGGGGAGUGAAAGAGAACCUGAAACCCUGUGUUUACAAGCUGUGGAAGCACUUUAUAUGUGCAACCGCGUACUUUUUGUAGAACGGUCCGGCGAGUUACCUGUACUGGCAAGGUUAAGCACUCAAGGUGCGGAGCCGAAGGGAAACCAAGUCUUAAUAGGGCCACAGUCAGUAUGGGUAGACCCGAAACCGGGUGAUCUAUCCAUGUCCAGGUUGAAGCUGCCGUAAAAGGCGGUGGAGGACCGAACACACAUCCGUUGAAAAGGGUGGUGAUGAGGUGUGGAUAGGGGAGAAAUUCCAAUCGAACCCGGAGAUAGCUGGUUCUCCUCGAAAUAGCUUUAGGGCUAGCCUCGUGUUAGUCUCCUGGAGGUAGAGCACUGAAUUCUUAAGGGGGCGUCAAAGCUUACCAAGAGAUAUCAAACUCCGAAUGCCAGAGAGAUGAUGCACGGGAGUCAGACGGCACGAGAUAAGUUGGGUCGUCAAAAGGGAAAGAGCCCAGACCACCAGCUAAGGUCCCAAAGUGCGUGUUAAGUGGAAAAGGAUGUGGGAUUUCGAAGACAACUAGGAUGUUGGCUCAGAAGCAGCCACACAUUCAAAGAGUGCGUAAUAGCUCACUAGUCGAGAGGUCCUGCGCCGAAAAUGUCCGGGGCUGAAACACGACACCGAAGCUGUGGACUUGCCUAUGGCAAGUGGUAGAGGAGCAUUCUUAACUGCGGCGAAGCAGUACCGAUAAGGAGCUGUGGAGUGUUAAGAAGAGAGAAUGCCGGAAUGAGUAGCGAGAUGGAGGUGGGAAUCCUCCAGGCCGAAUAUCUAAGGUUUCCAGAGUAAAGCUGAUCUGCUCUGGGUAAGUCGGGACCUAAGGCAAGGUCGAAAGACGUAGUCGAUGGACAACAGGUUGAAAUUCCUGUACCACAUAUCAUCAGAACUGUGGGGACACAGGGCGAUAACCAGACCCGGGAAUGAAAAGACCGGGGCAAGCGAGGUAGGAGUUAAGCCGGCAAAUCCGCUUAACAAUCCGAAGACGUGAUGCGGACCGAACAAAAGUAGGGAAGCUGGAGAUUCGAACUGUCAAGAAAAGCCGCUAUUGUGUGAUAUGUGCCCGUACCGUAAACCGACACAGGUGGAUGAGGAGAGAAUCCUAAGGCCGGCGGGAGAAGCAUUGUUAAGGAACUCGGCAAAAUGACCCUGUAACUUCGGGAUAAAGGGUGCCUGCGCAAGCAGGCCGCAGAGAAUAGGCUCAAGCAACUGUUUAGCAAAAACACAGGUCUAUGCAAAACCGAAAGGUGAGGUAUAUGGGCUGACGCCUGCCCGGUGCUGGAAGGUUAAGAGGAGAGGUUAGAGCAAUCGAAGCUUUGAAUUUAAGCCCCAGUAAACGGCGGCCGUAACUAUAACGGUCCUAAGGUAGCGAAAUUCCUUGUCGGGUAAGUUCCGACCCGCACGAAAGGCGUAAUGAUUUGAGCGCUGUCUCGACAAUGCACCCGGUGAAAUUGAAAUACCAGUGAAGAUGCUGGUUACCUGCGCCAGGACGGAAAGACCCCAUGGAGCUUUACUCCAGCUUGAUACUGGGAUUCGGUUAUACAUGUACAGGAUAGGUGGGAGGCUAAGAAGUGAGGACGCCAGUCUUCACGGAGCCGCUGUUGGGAUACCACCCUUGUGUGACUGGGUUUCUAACCUGCAGCCGUGACCCGGCUGGGGGACAAUGUCAGGUGGGGAGUUUGACUGGGGCGGUCGCCUCCGAAAGGGUAUCGGAGGCGCUCAAAGGUUCCCUCAGAAUGGUUGGAAACCAUUUGCAGAGUGCAAAGGCAUAAGGGAGCUUGACUGCGAGACCGACGGGUCGAGCAGGUAGGAAACUAGGACUUAGUGAUCCGGUGGUAUAAAGUGGGAUUGCCAUCGCUCAACGGAUAAAAGCUACCCUGGGGAUAACAGGCUUAUCACUCCCAAGAGUUCACAUCGACGGAGUGGUUUGGCACCUCGAUGUCGGCUCAUCGCAUCCUGGGGCUGAAGUAGGUCCCAAGGGUUGGGCUGUUCGCCCAUUAAAGCGGUACGCGAGCUGGGUUCAGAACGUCGUGAGACAGUUCGGUCCCUAUCCGGCGUGGGCGUAGGAUAUUUGAGAGGAGCUGUCCUUAGUACGAGAGGACCGGGAUGGACUGACCUCUGGUGCAUCGGUUGGGUAUCAAACCCAUGGCCGAGUAGCCAAGUCGGGACGGGAUAAACGCUGAAGGCAUCUAAGCGUGAAGCCCCCCUCAAGAUGAGAUAUCCCAUACGCAAGUAGUAAGACCCCUUGAAGACGACGAGGUAGAUAGGGCAGAGGUGGAAGCAUGGUAACAUGUGCAGCUGACUGUCACUAAUAGGUCGAGGGCUUAACCAAG
Molecule: ribosomal RNA, 3202 nt
Filed under: Clostridium sp. AM33-3
Lineage: Bacteria; Bacillati; Bacillota; Clostridia; Eubacteriales; Clostridiaceae
Description: 23S ribosomal RNA
Rfam family: Bacterial large subunit ribosomal RNA
Source: RNAcentral